ACGAUUUCUGUUCUUCGUUAUUCUCUUGGCGGAACCCUAUCUCAGCUCCUUACAUCUCUUACUUCUACUCUGUACUUCAAUUUAUAUUUCUCUAGCUCUGUUUGUUUUGUUUUGUUUUUUUUUGUGAAUUUCUAACUAAAGACGAACAAAAAAAUGUCAAGUGCAUUAGAGAUGUCGCUAGACGACCUGAUCAAGCGUAACCGUAAGUCCGGAUCCGGAAAUCCCCGCGGUCGAGGCCGUGGAUCCGGACCGGGACCCGCCCGCCGCUUUCCUAACCGCGGAGCAAACCGCUCGGCACCGUAUACUGCUGCUACGGCGCCGGAGACGACGUGGCAGCACGAUAUGUAUUCGGAUAAGGGAGCGGCGUUCCAAGGUCAAGCCGGUCGGGCCGCUGCAAUAGAAACCGGAACGAAGCUCUACGUCUCUAAUUUAGAUUAUGGAGUAUCUAACGACGACAUAAAGGAGUUAUUUUCUGAGGUUGGUGACCUGAAACGAUAUGCAAUUCAUUAUGAUUGGACUGGUAGAUCGAAGGGAACCGCCGAAGUUGUCUUUUCACGGAAAGCAGAUGCUAUGGCUGCGGUCAAGAGAUACAAUAAUGUUCAACUUGAUGGAAAGCCGAUGAAAAUCGAGAUUGUGGGAACAAACAUUGCUACCCCUGCUGCACCAACAGUUGCCAAUGUUGCUUUUGGAAGUUCUAAUGGAGCCCCUAGAGGUGGGCGUGGCAGGGGUGGAGGAUUCCGUAGGCAACGUGGUGUUGCUGGAGGCCGUGGCUUUGGAAGAGGCCGUGGACAGGGAAGGGGCCGUGGAGAAAAGGUUUCGGCAGAAGAUCUUGACGCUGAUCUAGAGAAGUAUCACACUGAAGCAAUGCAGACAAAUUGAAGCAUUUCUCAUGCUCUGUUGGUUGGGUUUUAAGUCGUCUUUUCUACUAUGGACAUUAUGUGCUUGAUGCUCAACUAUAUUGUGUAUCACUACCAAAUUCACUCUUUAGAGGAACUAGUCAUAUGGAGAGAACUAUUAGUGUCUAAAUUUUUAUGGAGUUUGAGCUUUUACUGUUGACCUUUUACUUGGGUAUAAAGAAUGUGGAUUAGUGGGGAACAAAAAAAGCUAUCAUUUUGUAAUCUGCAAUUAUGCUUUUAGUUCCAUUGAAAUUGGGCUCAUUCCACCAUUCAGUAACAAAGCGGAAACUUUUUCUCUAUAUGCAAAGGGAACUUUGGCUGCAUGCUGUGGGAGGAGUAAUCUUGCCGCUGCCCAAAGCUGCAUUGCCUUUUGGUUGCUCCUGCAUUUUGGAACUAGGGAGACUGCAAUCUGAGUAAACUAUUGUAGAAUCUCCCUGCUUUGGUUUCAACCAGUUGGUUUCUUGCCGGAGAAAAUCUGUUGACGGCUCCAGUACAGUUGGCUUAUAGGAGCUUGUUCUGGAGUUCAAAUGAUUAUAGAAAUCUGUUGAAGUACAAUAAGAUUCUGAAGUUUGCUCUUUCAGUUUCCAUAUAAAGUGAAUGAACCCCCUCUGCCUCCGCAUAUAAGCCUGCAUUUCAUUUUGGGGCUUGGGGAAGUUGAAUAAGAGUAUAGUUACGGCAUGAAUAUACUUUAACAAAAGCUAAGAUUUAAAUAGCGGGAAAUUGCUUAAGUUUUUUGUCAUUCUGUGAGCUGCUAUGGUAAUGCUUGGAGCAAACGGCUUUUGUCACUACUUCCCCUGAUUCAAGGUUAGGAACUUCAAAGUGGACGAUGCUUAUUUGCCAUAGUAGUAUCGGGUCUUCACUUUGGAAGCUUGCCCCAACCUUCAGACUAUGAAGUUGGUGAGUGCUGGUUUUCCUAUUUACAUAUAUGCACAGUUAUUGACCAAUGAGUCUUAUUUUGCUCAUGAUUAACAUCUAUAUAUAGUUUUUAUGAUUCUUGAAUUUCAGUUAUUUUAAUAAAAAUUGAAUCUCAAGGAAUGUUUUGUUUAUUCA
RNA transcript from Gossypium raimondii (Peruvian cotton), 1946 nucleotides. It is a transcript of the gene named THO complex subunit 4A, with no coding region annotated. The record is from RefSeq and is a predicted model, not a curated record. Lineage: Eukaryota; Viridiplantae; Streptophyta; Magnoliopsida; Malvales; Malvaceae. The transcript has 6 exons.